Molecule: long non-coding RNA, 463 nt
Filed under: Crocodylus porosus (Australian saltwater crocodile)
Lineage: Eukaryota; Metazoa; Chordata; Crocodylia; Crocodylidae
Description: lncRNA (ENSCPRG00005007319.1)
Source: RNAcentral
ACUGGAUUUUAGACUGAGUUGCCAAGUGUCAGUCAGGAGGCUGGAAGAAGAUACAUCUUCCCUUGGAUUUGAGGAAGAGGUAUAGCCAAGCCAAGGAAAACAGAGAAAGUGAGGAUGAAGGAGGAGGACAUUUUCCUCAGCUGCUGACAAGGAGUAAUAACAGAUCCCGGCGUGUGUGCGCUGACCCCAAAGCACUCCUGAGUCAACCGGCUGCGUCUGAAUCCACUUAAAGCUGAAACACUGCAUUCAGUUACCAAAACUUGGAAAUGAAGAAAAGAGCAACAAAAUUAUUAAGCAGCAGCUGAAAAUGACUUAUAAGGAAAGAUUUAGAGUUUAAUAUGUACAGUUUAGAUAAGUGACGUGAAGGAUAGACAUGAUACAUUGCCAGUAUUGAAAGGCAUGAACAGCAAGUGGAGACAGGAAUUAUAUAAGGUGGUAGAAGGAAAUAACUAAUGAGAAUGUG